This 380-nucleotide unclassified non-coding RNA is filed under the name soil metagenome. RNAcentral describes it as "partial contains 5.8S ribosomal RNA, internal transcribed spacer 2, and large subunit ribosomal RNA". The stretch from base 1 to 120 matches the Rfam family "5.8S ribosomal RNA", at positions 35 to 154 of the family's 154-position model. The record is from RNAcentral.
GAUGAAGAACGCAGCGAAAUGCGAUAAGUAAUGUGAAUUGCAGAAUUCAGUGAAUCAUCGAAUCUUUGAACGCACCUUGCACCCUUUGGCAUUCUGAAGGGUAUGCUCGUUUGAGUGUCAUUGUACUCUCACACUCCCGAUCUUUGCAUUGGGAGCAGUGGACUUGGGUUUGCUGCUUCACCGUCGCUUACCUCAAAUAGGUUAGUGCAACUCUUGGUUGGACAUAGUACGGCGUGAUAAGUGUUCUUCGCCGGUGCCUCGCAAAGAGGGUGGCCGAUCGGGAUGUUGUGCUCCAAACCGUCUUCGGACAAUCUCUGACGACUUGACCUCAAAUCGAGUAAGACUACCCGCUGAACUUAAGCAUAUCAAUAAGCGGAAGA